GAUGAACGCUAGCGGCAGGCUUAACACAUGCAAGUCGAGGGGUAGAGGAAGCUUGCUUCCUUGAGACCGGCGCACGGGUGCGUAACGCGUAUGCAAUCUACCUUAUACAGGGGGAUAGCCCAGAGAAAUUUGGAUUAAUACCCCAUAGUAUAAUUGAAUGGCAUCAUUUAAUUAUUAAAGUUCCAACGGUAUAAGAUGAGCAUGCGUCCAUUAGCUAGUUGGUGUGGUAACGGCACACCAAGGCGACGAUGGGUAGGGGUCCUGAGAGGGAGAUCCCCCACACUGGUACUGAGACACGGACCAGACUCCUACGGGAGGCAGCAGUGAGGAAUAUUGGUCAAUGGGCGCAAGCCUGAACCAGCCAUGCCGCGUGCAGGAUGACGGUCCUAUGGAUUGUAAACUGCUUUUGUACAGGAAGAAACACUCCCUCGUGAGGGAGCUUGACGGUACUGUAAGAAUAAGGAUCGGCUAACUCCGUGCCAGCAGCCGCGGUAAU
RNAcentral lists this ribosomal RNA (496 nucleotides) under uncultured bacterium. Its description in RNAcentral is "bacterial SSU rRNA". It matches the Rfam family "Bacterial small subunit ribosomal RNA", at positions 28 to 524 of the family's 1533-position model. The record is from RNAcentral.